UUGACCUCAAAUCAGGUAGGACUACCCGCUGAACUUAAGCAUAUCAAUAAGCGGAGGAAAAGAAACUAACAAGGAUUCCCCUAGUAACUGCGAGUGAAGCGGGAAAAGCUCAAAUUUGAAAUCUGGCGGUUCGUUGGACUGUCCGAGUUGUAAUCUAGAGAAGUGUCUACCUGUG
This 175-nucleotide ribosomal RNA is filed under the name uncultured fungus. RNAcentral describes it as "partial 28S ribosomal RNA". It matches the Rfam family "Eukaryotic large subunit ribosomal RNA", at positions 1 to 170 of the family's 3401-position model. The record is from RNAcentral. Lineage: Eukaryota; Fungi.